AAUGAACGCUGGCGGCAGGCCUAAAACAUGCAAGUCGAACGCUGUAGCAAUACAGAGUGGCGCACGGGUGAGUAACAUGUGGGAAUAUGCCUAUUGGUACGGAACAACGUUUGGAAACGAACGCUAAUACCGUAUGGUCCCUUCGGGGUAAAGAUUUAUCGCCAAAUAGAUUAGCCCGCACUAGAUUAGCUAGUUGGUGAGGUAAGAGCUCACCAAGGCGACGAUCUAUAGCUGGUCUGAGAGGACGAUCAGCCACACUGGGACUGAGACACGGCCCAGACUCCUACGGGAGGCAGCAGUUAGGAAUAUUGGACAAUGGCGCAAGCCUGAUCCAGCCAUGCCGCGUGAGUGAUG
RNAcentral lists this ribosomal RNA (354 nucleotides) under uncultured bacterium. RNAcentral describes it as "bacterial SSU rRNA". It matches the Rfam family "Bacterial small subunit ribosomal RNA", at positions 29 to 410 of the family's 1533-position model. The record is from RNAcentral.